RNAcentral lists this ribosomal RNA (253 nucleotides) under uncultured bacterium. RNAcentral describes it as "partial 16S ribosomal RNA". It matches the Rfam family "Bacterial small subunit ribosomal RNA", at positions 524 to 776 of the family's 1533-position model. The record is from RNAcentral.
UACGUAGGGGGCAAGCGUUGUCCGGAAUCAUUGGGCGUAAAGCGCGUGUAGGCGGUUCGGUAAGUCUGCUGUGAAAGUCCAGGGCUCAACCCUGGGAUGCCGGUGGAUACUGUCGGACUAGAGUACGGAAGAGGCGAGUGGAAUUCCCGGUGUAGCAGUGAAAUGCGUAGAUAUCGUGAGGAAGACCAGUUGCGAAGGCGGAUCUCUGGGCAGUUCCUGACACUGAGGCACGAAGGCCAGGGGAGCAAACGGG